CCGGCUGGGGUAUUGCAUAAGCAGGAGGCGAGUGCAGCGGCAAAAGCUCAAAUUUGAAAUCUGGCUCUUUCAGAGUCCGAGUUGUAAUUUGAAGAAGGUAUCUUUGGGUCUGGCUCUUGUCUAUGUUUCUUGGAACAGAACGUCACAGAGGGUGAGAAUCCCGUGCGAUGAGAUGAUCCAGGCCUAUGUAAAGUUCCUUCGAAGAGUCGAGUUGUUUGGGAAUGCAGCUCUAAGUGGGUGGUAAAUUCCAUCUAAAGCUAAAUAUUGGCGAGAGACCGAUAGCGAACAAGUACAGUGAUGGAAAGAUGAAAAGAACUUUGAAAAGAGAGUGAAAAAGUACGUGAAAUUGUUGAAAGGGAAGGGCUUGAGAUCAGACUUGGUAUUUUGUAUGUUACUUCUUCGGGGGUGGCCUCUACAGUUUAUCGGGCCAGCAUCAGUUUGGGCGGUAGGAGAAUUGCGUUGGAAUGUGGCACGGCUUCGGUUGUGUGUUAUAGCCUUCGUCGAUACUGCCAGCCUAGACUGAGGACUGCGGUUUAUACCUAGGAUGUUGGCAUAAUGAUCUUAAGUCGCCCGUCUUGAACCACGGGACCACACCGUCCCGCUGCCCCGAAAC
Molecule: ribosomal RNA, 613 nt
Filed under: Candida tropicalis
Lineage: Eukaryota; Fungi; Ascomycota; Pichiomycetes; Serinales; Debaryomycetaceae
Description: eukaryotic LSU rRNA
Rfam family: Eukaryotic large subunit ribosomal RNA
Source: RNAcentral